UGGGGAAUAUUGCACAAUGGGCGCAAGCCUGAUGCAGCCAUGCCACGUGUGUGAAGAAGGCCUUCGGGUUGUAAAGCACUUUCAGCGAGGAGGAAGGUGGUGAGCUUAAUACGCUCAUCAAUUGACGUUACUCGCAGAAGAAGCACCGGCUAACUCCGUGCCAGCAGCCGCGGUAAUACGGAGGGUGCAAGCGUUAAUCGGAAUUACUGGGCGUAAAGCGCACGCAGGCGGUUUGUUAAGUCAGAUGUGAAAUCCCCGGGCUCAACCUGGGAACUGCAUUUGAAACUGGCAAGCUAGAGUCUCGUAGAGGGGGGCUAGAAUUCCAGGUGUAGCGGUGAAAUGCGUAGAGAUCUGGAGGAAUACCGGUGGCGAAGGCGGCCCCCUGGACGAAGACUGACGCUCAGGUGCGAAAGCGUGGGGCAGCAAACAGGAUUAGAUACCCUGGUAGUCCAGCGCUGUAAACGAUGUCGAUUUGGAGGUUGUGCCCUUGAGGCGUGGCUUCCGGAGCUAACGCGUUAAAUCGACCGCC
Molecule: ribosomal RNA, 529 nt
Filed under: uncultured bacterium
Lineage: Bacteria
Description: partial 16S ribosomal RNA
Rfam family: Bacterial small subunit ribosomal RNA
Source: RNAcentral